This 275-nucleotide unclassified non-coding RNA is filed under the name uncultured fungus. Its description in RNAcentral is "partial contains small subunit ribosomal RNA, internal transcribed spacer 1, and 5.8S ribosomal RNA". The stretch from base 1 to 73 matches the Rfam family "Eukaryotic small subunit ribosomal RNA", at positions 1759 to 1831 of the family's 1831-position model. The record is from RNAcentral. Lineage: Eukaryota; Fungi.
UCAAACUUGGUCAUUUAGAGGAAGUAAAAGUCGUAACAAGGUAACCGUAGGUGAACCUGCGGUUGGAUCAUUAAAAAUUUUUAUAGUCUCUGGGGGAAAACUCUAGUUUACCCCAUGAUGGCUAUUAACACCUGUGCACUUUAUGUAUCUUGGGUAUAAAAUAUUAUACCCAAAAACUUGAUAAACCCCUAUUGAUUAUGUCUGAAAAUUUAUAUUAAAUAUAAACAACUUUUGACAACGGAUCUCUAGGCUCUCGCAUCGAUGAAGAACGCAGC